RNAcentral lists this ribosomal RNA (490 nucleotides) under uncultured bacterium. Its description in RNAcentral is "partial 16S ribosomal RNA". It matches the Rfam family "Bacterial small subunit ribosomal RNA", at positions 30 to 507 of the family's 1533-position model. The record is from RNAcentral.
AUUGAACGCUGGCGGCAGGCCUAACACAUGCAAGUCGAACGGUAACAGGAAGAAGCUUGCUUCUUUGCUGACGAGUGGCGGACGGGUGAGUAAUGUCUGGGAAACUGCCUGAUGGAGGGGGAUAACUACUGGAAACGGUAGCUAAUACCGCAUAAUGUCGCAAGACCAAAGAGGGGGACCUUCGGGCCUCUUGCCAUCGGAUGUGCCCAGAUGGGAUUAGCUAGUAGGUGGGGUAACGGCUCACCGAGGCGACGAUCCCUAGCUGGUCUGAGAGGAUGACCAGCCACACUGGAACUGAGACACGGUCCAGACUCCUACGGGAGGCAGCAGUGGGGAAUAUUGCACAAUGGGCGCAAGCCUGAUGCAGCUAUGCCGCGUGUAUGAAGAAGGCCUUCGGGUUGUAAAGUACUUUCAGCGGGGAGGAAGGGAGUAAAGUUAAUACCUGUACUCAUUGACGUUACCCGCAGAAGAAGCACCGGCUAACUCCGUG